CACGUAGGCGGAUAUUUAAGUCAGGGGUGAAAUCCCAGAGCUCAACUCUGGAACUGCCUUUGAUACUGGGUAUCUCGAGUAUGGAAGAGGUGAGUGGAAUUCCGAGUGUAGAGGUGAAAUUCGUAGAUAUUCGGAGGAACACCAGUGGCGAAGGCGGCUCACUGGUCCAUUACUGACGCUGAGGUGCGAAAGCGUGGGGAGCAAACA
This 207-nucleotide ribosomal RNA is filed under the name uncultured bacterium. Its description in RNAcentral is "partial 16S ribosomal RNA". It matches the Rfam family "Bacterial small subunit ribosomal RNA", at positions 568 to 774 of the family's 1533-position model. The record is from RNAcentral.